Molecule: ribosomal RNA, 246 nt
Filed under: Gammaproteobacteria bacterium
Lineage: Bacteria; Pseudomonadati; Pseudomonadota; Gammaproteobacteria
Description: partial 16S ribosomal RNA
Rfam family: Bacterial small subunit ribosomal RNA
Source: RNAcentral
CAGGCCUAACACAUGCAAGUCGAACGGUAACGGACCGCUGGGAUCCCUUCGGGGUGACCUUGGUGCCGACGAGUGGCGGACGGGUGAGUAACACGUAGGAAUCUGCCCAACAGAGGGGGACAACCCGGAGAAAUCCGGGCUAAUACCGCAUACGCCCUACGGGGGAAAGCGGGGGAUCUUCGGACCUCGUGCUGUUGGAGGAGCCUGCGUCGGAUUAGCUUGUUGGUGAGGUAACGGCUCACCAAG